This 356-nucleotide small RNA is filed under the name Nigrograna mackinnonii. RNAcentral describes it as "eukaryotic LSU rRNA". It matches the Rfam family "Eukaryotic large subunit ribosomal RNA", at positions 294 to 664 of the family's 3401-position model. The record is from RNAcentral. Lineage: Eukaryota; Fungi; Ascomycota; Dothideomycetes; Pleosporales; Nigrogranaceae.
GGGAGGUAAAUUUCUUCUAAAGCUAAAUAUUGGCCAGAGACCGAUAGCGCACAAGUAGAGUGAUCGAAAGAUGAAAAGCACUUUGGAAAGAGAGUCAAAAAGCACGUGAAAUUGUUGAAAGGGAAGCGCUUGCAAUCAGACUUGCCUGUAGUUGCUCAUCUGGACUCUUGUCCGGUGCACUCUUCUGCGGGCAGGCCAGCAUCAGUUCAGGCGGCUGGAUAAAGGCCUCUAUCACGUAUCUUCCUUCGGGAUGACCUUAUAGGGGAGGUGUAAUGCAGCCAGCCUGGAUUGAGGUCCGCGCAUCUGCUAGGAUGCUGGCGUAAUGAUUGUAAGCGGCCCGUCUUGAAACACGGGAC